UUUAUUUGAAUAGUAGCAUAAUAGACGGAAAAAGAAUUAUAAGUGCGUAUAGAAGAUCACAAGGCUCGAGUACUAUAUAAUAACUGAGUCUAUACAUUUUGGGUCUGUUAUUUGGGCUCAAAAAAUUAUUAAUAUUAGUCGGCUGAAUCAUUAUAUUUAGUAGCAGAGUUGAUUUACCACCCAAAAGUAUAAAAUAAUAAUUGAGUUUAAAUAUAUUAAGUAUGAUCAUUUGUGUCCUAAUAAAUUAUUAGUGGACUGAAUCAUUAUAUAAUUAAUAUUUAAUAUAUUUAUAAGUAAGUUAAUAUUAAUCUACACAAGUGAGGAAGAGAUUUUUUUUUUUUUUUUUUUUUUUUAUUCAGCAUUCGGGUUGAUGAGUUAAACCAGAUAGUUAUAUGAGUGAAACUAAACAGCUUAUAAAUUUGUAGUAAGAAGAAAAAAUCUCAUUCCCUAUGUACAAGAAUAAAGUUGAAGUAAACACAAGCAGUGUAAACUGCUUACCCCAAGAUUAAGAUUUUUUGAUUAGUCAUCAUAUCUUGAAGCGGGCGCAAACAAAAGAUCAACUGUAUGGAGUUUCUACUACUGUCUCGUAUGUAUUACUAUACCGGGGAUCAAUCAAAAGUCAGUGGACGGUUAGGAACACCAAGGUACACAAAGGAUUAGUAAUGGAGAUAAUGUAAGGUAUCAAAAAAGAGGUAUUUCCUCAUAAAACGAAUCAUAAUAAGGACUUGAAAUUGGUAGAAAUGAUCAAGUAGUACUUCCCUACGAUUCCGAUCUAGAGUAUGCUCCUAUUCACUGGUUAAAGAAAUN
Molecule: long non-coding RNA, 807 nt
Filed under: Ananas comosus (pineapple)
Lineage: Eukaryota; Viridiplantae; Streptophyta; Magnoliopsida; Poales; Bromeliaceae
Description: long non-coding RNA (ACOM_LNC029881)
Source: RNAcentral